Molecule: long non-coding RNA, 466 nt
Filed under: Ananas comosus (pineapple)
Lineage: Eukaryota; Viridiplantae; Streptophyta; Magnoliopsida; Poales; Bromeliaceae
Description: long non-coding RNA (ACOM_LNC044729)
Source: RNAcentral
GAAUGUAAGAUGCACACUCUAUCUUAGAAUUUACUAGUACACUACAACAGAAUUAGAUUUACUCAACCCACCUCAUCCAAUCCAUUCGGCUCGAUUACAAAAAAAAAAAGAAGAAAAAUCGUUCACCAUCUCCCCUUCUCCUCUCACUCAAUUUACUGAAACCCUAAACGAAGAGCACUUAACUCUCCUCCUUUUCUGCCACCGCAGCCAACGAGAUAGAAUUUCGACGAUUGCUAAAUACUUAAAUAAGUGUUGGUAAAUUAGUAACAUUUUUUUAAGUUAUACCGACACUUUUAAACUGUCACUAUAUACCUACCGAUCCGACAUAUAACAAUAUUUUUUAAAAAUAUCGAUAAUUUAGCCAGCACUAUUUUUUUUAAUUUAUACUAAUAUUUAAAAACGUGGCUAUAUACUAUUUUGUUGUAGUAGUAGUAUUGAUCUCAUAGUAUUUAAAACAAAAAAAAUU